AAAAUGGAGAGUUUGAUCCUGGCUCAGGAUGAACGCUGGCGGUAUGCUUAACACAUGCAAGUCGAACGGAAUCCUUCGGGAUUUAGUGGCGGACGGGUGAGUAACGCGUAAGAAUCUACCUUCAGGUUGGGGACAACCACUGGAAACGGUGGCUAAUACCGAAUGUGCCGAGAGGUGAAAGGCUUGCUGCCUGAAGAAGAGCUUGCGUCUGAUUAGCUAGUAGGUGUGGUAAAGGCGCACCUAGGCGACGAUCA
RNAcentral lists this ribosomal RNA (254 nucleotides) under Dolichospermum sp. Its description in RNAcentral is "partial 16S ribosomal RNA". It matches the Rfam family "Bacterial small subunit ribosomal RNA", at positions 1 to 282 of the family's 1533-position model. The record is from RNAcentral. Lineage: Bacteria; Bacillati; Cyanobacteriota; Cyanophyceae; Nostocales; Aphanizomenonaceae.